Molecule: long non-coding RNA, 3208 nt
Organism: Halichondria panicea
Lineage: Eukaryota; Metazoa; Porifera; Demospongiae; Suberitida; Halichondriidae
Exons: 3
Source: RefSeq, a predicted model, not a curated record
UAUAAUUAAACUUGUGUACACGUGGUGUUCGUUAGUUACCCUGUGAUGUCGUUGUCGUUCAUGGACAACAUGUCUUCAAUCUUCUGCCAUAGAUCCUUGACAUAGGCCAUUGGAACAUUUCUGUCUCAAUGGUAUUGUGACCAUCAUGAGUAGGAAAGGUGAAUGGGGUUAACUCGGUACAUAUAUUCUCUCCUACAUACUGCUCCGAUUCUGCCCGCUAUCUCUACUCCCCACUCAAUAAGAUGCAGGUCCACUAAUGCUUCCCCGGCAGGAAUUGAAAUGGAGCUUAUCAAUGAGUGCCUGCUGCGGUCACCUCAUUUGCCAGCUGAGUAUACACCACUGAUCCUUUUCCUUUGAAGUCUAAGUUCAGAGGAACGACGUCGCACAGUUCGAGAACCUGACUUGCAUUAGUGUGAUGGGCUAUUUGCGUAAUAAAUAUGUGCAUAAUGUAAUGAUUAUACCUGUCCUCUUGUCUGUAAUUGUAGUGUUUGUAAUUGUAGUGUUUGGGAAUUUUCUGAGGAUAAACUCCGUGUCACGAGAGAUGCUUGGAGUUUCUUCUCUACUGGUGUUAGGGGUACGUUUGAUGGCUUUUUUAACACAUGUUCUAUGUUAGGCUUCGAAUGAAGGCCAGGACUGCUUCUGGAGGUUGCCUGACUGUCAAAAUCAGCCACAUGAUCAGUGCCACAACAGGGACAAGAAAUAGCUUCGGCUUUUCGUAAGCUCUGACAGCAGCAUUCAGCACAUGCAUACUUCUGGCACGUCGUGAACUCAAUAGGCAGUGAGGAGCACAAGUAACACUUUAACUCGCCAGCCUGUGGAGAGAUGUUGGGUGGUCUGCCAGCUUUGAAGAGUUUCUUUCGUCUCCCUGAUUGCCGAACACGGCUCGUGUGUGUGUGUGUGUGUGUGUGCGUUGUGGGGUGUGUGUUUGCCCCCUGUGUGUGCGUGUGUGUGUUUGCCCCCUGUGUGUGUGUGUGUGUGUGUGUGUGUGCCCUGUGUGUGCGUGUGCGUGUGUGCGUGUGCGUGUGUGUGUGUGUGUGUAUGUGUGUAUGCCCCCUGUGUGUGCGUGUGUGUGUUUGCCCCUGUGUGUGUAGUGUGUGCAUACCCUUUGUGUGCGUGUGUGUGUGUGUGUGUGUGUGUGUGUGCGUGUGUGUGUGUAUGUGUGUAUGCCCCCUGUGUGUGCGUGUGUGAGUGUGUGUUUACACCCUGAGUGUGUGUGUGUGCCCCUGUGUUGUGUGCCCCCUGUGCGUUCCCUGUGUGUGCGUAUGUGUGUGUGUGUGUGUGCCCCCUGUGUGUGCGAGUGUGUGUGCGUUGUGGUGUGUGUGUGUGUGUUUGCCCCCUGUGAGUGUGUGUGCGUGUGUGUGUGAGUGUGUGUGUGCCCUGUGUGUGCGUGUGUGUGUGUGUGCCCCUGUGUGUGUGUGAGCCGUGCGUGUGUGGUGUGUGUGUGUGCCCACUGUGUGUGCGUGUGUGCCCCAUGUGUGUGUGUGUGUGUGUGUUGUGUGUUGUGGGUGUGUGUGUGCCCCUGUGUUGCCAUGUGUGUGUGUGGUGUGUGUGUGUGUGUGAGCGUGUGUGUGUGAGUCUGUGUGUUCCCUGUGUUUGCGUAUGCGUAUGUGUGUGUGUGUGUGUGUGCCCCCUGUGUGUGCGAGUGUGUGUGCGUGUGUGUUUGCCCCCUGUGAGUGUGUGUGCCUGUGUGUGUGCGUGUGUGUGUGUGUGCCCCUGUGUGUGUGUGAGCCGUGCGUGUGUGGUGUGUGUGUGUGCCCCCUGUGUGUGCGUGUGUGCCCCAUGUGUGUGUGUGUGUGUGGUGUGUGUGUGUGUGUGUGUUGUGAGUGUGUGUGUGUGCCCCUGUGUUGCCAUGUGUGUGUGUGUGUGUGUGUGUGUGUGGUGUGUGUGUGUGUGUGUGUGAGCGUGUGUGUGUGUGUGCCCCUGUGUGUGUGUGUGAGUCUGUGUGUUCCCUGUGUUUGCGUAUGCGUAUGUGUGUGUGUGUGUGUGCCCCCUGUGUGUGCGAGUGUGUGUGCGUUGUGGUGUGUGCGUGUGUGUGUGUGUCACAUGUGUUGUGUGCUCCCUGUGUGUGUGUGUGUGUGCCCUGUGUGUGCAUGUUGUGUGUGCCCCUGUGUGUGUGAGCCGUGCGUGUGUUGUGUGUGUGUGUGUGUGUGUGGGUGUGUUUGUGGGUGUGUGUGUGCCCCAUGUGUGUGUGUGUGACCCCUGUGUGUGCCCCAUGUGUGUGUGUGGUGUGUGUGUGGGUGUGUAUCCCCCUGUGUGUGCGUGUGUGAGUGUCUGUGUUUGCCCCUGUGUGUGUUUGUAGUAAGCACAAGGCUAACUGGGUUGGAUGGAACCUCGUCCGCUGAAGCAUAAAAUUGACUCAAACGGAAUGCACAUUAGAUUUUUAAUGAAGGAAUAAUUAUUAUAGUUUUUCCGGUCUUCAGAGGAGCAGUCCACAAAUUUCGGUCCCUUUAAUUUCCUGACUUGUGGAUAGCUCAAGGAAAGGCGGGACCAUACAUGCGGAGUCCGGGUGUGGCUGUCAAACCAUAGACUCUAUGGUUAAACACCACAAAACAUGCAGUUGUCUUAUUCAAAUAUUUUUGUUUAGGAAGCACUCUAUGUGCAACCUUAUAAUUAUUGUAUGUAAUGAGUUUUAUUAAUUAUAGUAACAAUAAUUAUUAUGGUUUUUCCGGUCUUCAGAAGAGCACCAGACCCGUCAUUGCCAGUCCACAAGUUUCGGUCCUUUUAAUUUCCUGACUUGUGGAUAGCUCAAGGAAAGGCGGGACCACUCCUGUACAUGCGGAGUCCGGGUGCGGCUGUCAAACCAUAGACUCUAUGGUUGAACACCACAAAACAUGCAGUUGAAAAGCAAGCUAAAUUUCUUAUUCAAAUAUUUUUGUUUAGGAAGUACUCUAUUAUAAUUAUUGUGUGUAAAUUGUUAUGUAAUUAAGAUAAGCAAAAUGUAACCCACGUGACAACGUCAGUUUCUUUUUUUUCCAUUGUGAGCAGUUCUGUCUAGCCAGUUUUUUAGUACCAUGACGAUUAUGUUUAGGCGCAUGUGAUUCCCGAUGUAUCAUCUUACUUUAGGCGUUUUGUGGCUUGUAGCUACAUGUACAAUCAGUAUAAGAUCUAACCUUGGUUCUGACAAUGAAUUUUCAUUAGUCAAUAUAGAUGUGUGUGUGUGUGUGUGUGUGUGUGUGUGGGUGGGUGGGUGGCUGCGUGUGUGCAAGUG